CUCUGGUUAGCUCAGUUGGUAGAGCGCUCCACUGGAAAUUGACAAGUCCCGGGUUGGAUACCCGGACCAGGCG
RNAcentral lists this transfer RNA (73 nucleotides) under Ixodes scapularis (black-legged tick). It matches the Rfam family "tRNA". From Rfam's summary of the family: Transfer RNA (tRNA) molecules are approximately 80 nucleotides in length. Their secondary structure includes four short double-helical elements and three loops (D, anti-codon, and T loops). Lineage: Eukaryota; Metazoa; Arthropoda; Arachnida; Ixodida; Ixodidae. The record is from Rfam by way of RNAcentral.